AGCGUCACUUCCGGUUUGCGCUUUCCGCCUUCUGAGAGCCGCCCUGCAGGGCAGUUACCUUGGAAACCUCCUUGUUCACCAAUUAGAGUGGGCGAUGGGGACACGGUGAAGGAGAACUAAGGGGCCGUCAAUUGCCUAACCAGGCGUUCACAUUGCAGCUAUGGUCAGCGAACGCUUAAUCAGAAAGUCCACCCUCUGGAGGCAGCUAUUACAAGUGCUGCGGCUCUCUUUAUCGCCCAUCAGCACCAGAGCCAGAGAAAUUUGAGGGGAUCCAAGAGACACGGAGCUCACACUUGGACUGAGGAGGCAUAAAAACAUGGUUUAUUCCAAACACUGCAAUGUGGAACAGGAGAGCGGGAAGGGAGGUCGGUGGUGAGUGUGGACUCCCAAACCCUCUGCUCCACAACCCAGCUCCAGACCCGGCUGGAGAUCUGGGAAGAGGAGCCUUUUGGGGGGGUCUGCUGGGUCAUCACUGAAGGAUCACAAGUAAGGGGUAGAUUUGGAGAGGAUGUGGUUGGUGGCACCUGGGGCUGGUAGUGAGGUGCGACAGGUCGGGAAGUUUUGGCCGGAUGGAGGUUGGGAUCAACGCUGGGGCCGGGGGAGGCGGGGCUUCCGUUGGGGGCGUGUCCUAGGUCAAAACAGGGAAAAGCAACCGAGGGUGGAAAAGAAGGAAGGGUGUCACGGUUUGACGUCAAGGGUCACAGUCUGGUCAGGGCACAGUCGGGGGUUCGGGUCACAGUUUGGGGUCAGGGGUCACAGUCUGGGGUCGGAUGCCCAUUUUUAGGGGUCGGAAGUCACAGUCUGGGGUCAGGGAUUUCUGUGUGGCGGGGCCAAGGUCUGGGGUCACAGUUUGGCGAACGCGUCUCACAGUUGAGUCCCGAUGGAUGAAAGGUUAAAAACGGGCUUCCCCGGAGGCGUGGCUGGGGCCGGGGAGCUGCACAGUGAUGUGGGGGCCACGGCCCCGGGCGUGGGGGUGGGGCGCUGGCGCGGCGUGCCCCCCCCCAACUCCCGCCCCAUCUGGUGACGUUAA
This is a non-coding RNA of Equus caballus (horse), 1030 nucleotides long. The record is from RefSeq and is a predicted model, not a curated record. Lineage: Eukaryota; Metazoa; Chordata; Mammalia; Perissodactyla; Equidae.